Molecule: non-coding RNA, 29 nt
Filed under: Mus musculus (house mouse)
Lineage: Eukaryota; Metazoa; Chordata; Mammalia; Rodentia; Muridae
Source: RNAcentral
UGCGGUGUUCAGGAUUAAAUCCUCUCGGU